This 117-nucleotide ribosomal RNA is filed under the name Streptosporangiales bacterium. Lineage: Bacteria; Bacillati; Actinomycetota; Actinomycetes; Streptosporangiales. The record is from RNAcentral.
UACGGCGGUCACAGCGAAGGGGAAACGCCCGGUCCCAUUCCGAACCCGGAAGCUAAGCCCUUCAGCGCCGAUGGUACUGCGCGGGGGACCGCGUGGGAGAGUAGGUCGCCGCCGUGC